This 219-nucleotide long non-coding RNA is filed under the name Elaeis guineensis (African oil palm). RNAcentral's name for it is "long non-coding RNA (EGUI_LNC003433)". The record is from RNAcentral. Lineage: Eukaryota; Viridiplantae; Streptophyta; Magnoliopsida; Arecales; Arecaceae.
GAUGGGCCGACAUCAUUGGUGGCACCUUAUGGUUACAAGGCUAUGCCAUGGCCGAUGGGGGCUGGCGGAAUUUGUGGACACAAUCGAUGGGAAGGAAAAAAAAUAGCUGGUUGAUCCAACUCUGGAAAAGCUCUGAAAAGAAGAGAAAACAGACCAAGAUCCCUUACCUACAUCCAAUGAAGAUGAUGGUGAUGAUCCCGACGAUGGCUACAGCAGGCA